UCCCAUGUCUUGUACCCUGGCUGCAGUCAGAACGGAAGUCAGCAUCCCCCUGGUAGCCACAUGGCCUCAGUGAGAGAACUAGCUUCAGACUUGACUCAUCUCUCUGGUUUGCUGCUUUUGCUUUAGUAGAAUCAGUGGUGUUAUUUAAUCCAAUGCUAUUUUCCUUUCUUGUCAUAUGGAUGACAGAAUAUUAUUUUCCAUUUUUCUCUUUUUAAAUAGAACUUCUUCUAUGCCUUGAUUUUUUUUUUUUUUAUGAUAAAACCUUUCAGUUUGUUUUUUUUGGUUUUUUUGUUUUUGUUUUGUUUUUUCUUUUUCUUGUUUUGUCUUUUUAGGGCCGUACCCACGGCAUGUGGAAGUUUCCAGGGAUCAAACCCAAGUCCUCCUAGACACUAGUCAGGUUCAUUACCACUGAGCCACCAUGGGAAAUUCCAUUGUAGUAUUUUGUCAUAUUUGCCAUGUGUGCAUGCGUGCAUGUGUAUAAUUUUAUGAACCAUUUGGAAGUCUGUGACAUAUAUCACGUCACUUAACCCUGCAUGUUUUGCUGUACAUCUUCUGAAAAUAAGGAUAUUCUCCUUUAUAAUCACUAUACCAUAUCAUACCUUAGAAAAUGAAUAAGAAGUCUCUAAUAUUUUGUCUGACACCUCGUCCAUAUUUAAAUUCCCCAGUUGUCCCUAAAUAUAUGUUAUAUAUAUUUUUCCCCUAAAAUGGGAGUAAUGUAGUGAUGCAUUUUUAAAGAUAUUUAUUUGUCAGUAGGGCUAUUUGGUUCACCAUACUUUCAGAUGUGGAAACAAACUUUAUUGUUUGGCCUUUUCUGAACUUUGCUUCUUGACUACUACAUUUUUCUAGUAGCCAAAUUACUGGUUUUUUUGUUCUUUUUUUUUUUUGCUUUUUAGGGCCGCACUGGCGCCAUAUGUCCCCAGGCUAGGGGUCCAAUCAGAGCUGCAGCUGCUGGCCUACACCACAGCCACAGCAAUGUGGGAUCCGAGCCAUGUCUUCCACCUACACCAUAGCUCACGGCAACGCCAGGUGCCUAACCCACUGAGCAGGGCGAGGGAUCAAACCCACAUCCUCAUACAUACUAGUUAGGUUCGUUACUGCUGAGCCAUGAUGGGAACGUCUAGAAUUACUGUAUCUUUUGCUCUCUAUUCACUUUCCUUGUGAAUUGCUUAUUAUUUGGUAUGCAGUUAAAGAACUAUAAUUUAGUUGAAAAACUGUUUUACUUCCUUUUAAAAGAGUUGUCUCUCUCAAGUGGAGGAUCCGGAAGAGGUUAGCUCAUUGUCUUUCUUCCAAAUAGCUACAUAUUCUAAGUUUUGUUCCGUCAAGGGAUUGACCUCACCUAAGGUG
This 1344-nucleotide long non-coding RNA is filed under the name Sus scrofa (pig). RNAcentral describes it as "lncRNA (ENSSSCG00015012824.1)". Lineage: Eukaryota; Metazoa; Chordata; Mammalia; Artiodactyla; Suidae. The record is from RNAcentral.